Molecule: ribosomal RNA, 253 nt
Filed under: uncultured bacterium
Lineage: Bacteria
Description: partial 16S ribosomal RNA
Rfam family: Bacterial small subunit ribosomal RNA
Source: RNAcentral
UACGUAGGUGACCAGCGUUGUCCGGAUUUACUGGGCGUAAAGAGCGCGCAGGCGGUCGUUCAAGUCGAGUGUGAAAGCCCCCGGCUCAACUGGGGAGGGUCACUCGAUACUGAUCGACUUGAAGGCAGGAGAGGGAAGCGGAAUUCCCGGUGUAGUGGUGAAAUGCGUAGAUAUCGGGAGGAACACCAGUGGCGAAGGCGGCUUCCUGGCCCACGACUGACACUCAGACACGACAGCAUGGGGAGCGAGCGGG